GUAUGACUCCUCGGGAGUCAGAUACUCUCGAGGAGCGAGAAAGGAAGCGGCUGCGGGAUAUCUUUGCAGAACCAUCUGACGAGGAUUCCUUUGAGGGUUUUACUGAGAGAAUGGAGGAAGAGAUGGUUAGCUCAGAGGAGGAUGACAUGGAAUGGACUCGUGUGAGGGAGGAUUUGGGUGCCACUGGCAAUGAUAGUAUGGAAGGCGAUUGGGGACCUUCAGGAUUAGACCCGUGGACAAGCUGGAGGGAUGGGACGGGAUCCACAGCUGGGGAUGCUGUGGGGCGUAGUCAAAGGUGUUUCAGUUCUGAUGAGGAAAGUGAUGAGGAAACGCCUGGAAUUAGGGUAACAGCUGAUAGUGAUGAGGAGUUGUAAACUGGCAUAAAAUGGGGUUUGGAAGCAAUGGCUAAUUGCGUUGGGCAAGGUAAUCUGGACGAACGCUUGGGCUCUGUGUGGGAAAUUCCUGAAGACGGGUGUGAUUCGUUUGCUGACUACCUUGGACCUCCGUCGUCUUCUUGACGGACGCCAUCUGUUUACUCUGGACUUACGGACUGACUGACUACGGCCUCGGACUCUCCUUCCUGUGAUUAUCGUUGGACCUGGUGAACUACAAACGUCUGUACCUGCCUUACGACCUUCGGACCGGAUUGGAACUUCGCUGACCGCUUCUGCCCUUGAAUGCUGUGUUUGUAUCGGGAAAUUGCUUGCUGUGUGGAGGAGUAACCUCUUAGUUACUCAAACAUAGCUUUUGGCAGCAGAGAAGCAUCUGCUGCCAGUUUUUUGCAUUCCUUUGAAUCUUUUGUUCACCAGCUUUUGUUUGUUUAAGUCCCAGGCUGAAGUAAGCUAUUUUGGUUUAACCCGGAUUAAACUCCGGUUUAAUCCGGUUUAUCUUUUGAGCGUUUUUCCUGUGUCUUUUUACUUUUAAGGCCAGUGUUUGCCUAGCCCUUGUCUUUUACGGGCAUUUUUGGUUCUGUAACUCCAAUAAACUUUGUUAUAUCUUA
This is a long non-coding RNA of Anolis carolinensis (green anole), 1000 nucleotides long. RefSeq lists it as uncharacterized. NCBI's taxonomy places the organism in Eukaryota, Metazoa, Chordata, Lepidosauria, Squamata, Anolidae. The transcript is spliced from 2 exons. The record is from RefSeq and is a predicted model, not a curated record.